UGGACGGAGUUGUCAUGUGUCUGCCUGUCUACACUUGCUGUGCAGAACAUCCGCUCACCUGUACAGCAGGCACAACCCAGCCUGAAUGACAACCAGCCA
This is a non-coding RNA of Myotis lucifugus (little brown bat), 99 nucleotides long. NCBI's taxonomy places the organism in Eukaryota, Metazoa, Chordata, Mammalia, Chiroptera, Vespertilionidae. The record is from Rfam.